Molecule: long non-coding RNA, 1026 nt
Organism: Daktulosphaira vitifoliae (grape phylloxera)
Lineage: Eukaryota; Metazoa; Arthropoda; Insecta; Hemiptera; Phylloxeridae
Exons: 5
Source: RefSeq, a predicted model, not a curated record
UUUAGUGUUUUUAUUUAUGAUUAUGGCGAAGUUUUUCAGUAUUUUUAAUGUGAAAAAUUAAAUUGUUAUGAACAAUUGUGAAAAAAAUCACAAUGAUGAUUUAAAUAAGUCAAUAAUGACUUUAGUGAUUUAGGAAACUUGUUAACUGGACCAGCUCGUCCAAUUUUGAAAAAGUGUUCAGUAGGUGAUGCGAACAAGUUUGUAGUUGCUCAACUGCUGAUAGUCUGGAACGGAUUUUUUAUUGCUUAGAUCAUUGACACUGUGCAUUUACACAACUUACUCGAUAUUAGUGUUACAGUUAGUCAUGAACAUGAUUUACAAGAGUAUGCGCAUGCGUUAGAUUGCUGAUAACAUUAUAAGAUGUGAUACGGAUUAAUUUUUGUGCGUUCAAAAUUUCUUAACGUCUUGAUUUUAUAUAGUAAUUAUUUACUAAUUUUGACGUAACAAUUUCUAUUUCUAUUUAUUACAUAAUAUACAAAUGGUACAUGAUGCCAAAUGUAUGCAUCAUUUGUUUAAAAUAUCCAAAGUCGCACUCUAGACUUUCAUUGCACAAAUCUUAAAAAACGAAAAAAAUGGCUUGAUAUCUGUGGCCUUGUGAAGAAUGUAUGUAGAACUAACCGGAGAUUAUGUUCAGAGCAUUUUGAAGACAGCUAUUUUUCUGAUGAUUUAAGAAGGGUACUAUAUUAAAAUGCUGUACCUACAAAAAACUUAGGAGAGGAAAAGUUAAAAAGAAAAUCAAUAAAAAAAAUUUCUCAUGUAUCUUAAGAAGAAAAAACCCACUGGUUUAGGUCCAAUAUGUUCUAAACCACUUGAAGCUACUGUUGAAAUAUCAAGUAGUACUGUUUUUAUAAAUCAAGAUUAUUUCAAAGAAAAUAUAACUGACUUGUCAAGUACUUCUUAAGAAAUACAAAAAAGAAAACUUUUGACUCAACCAAUUAUUAAUGGAACUCAAAAAAAAAAAAUAAACAAGGAAAUUAUAUGUUACUGAUAUUACAACACCAGAUUUUUCAAAUAAAGGCUAUGAAA